RNAcentral lists this ribosomal RNA (121 nucleotides) under Nannospalax galili (Upper Galilee mountains blind mole rat). The record is from RNAcentral. Lineage: Eukaryota; Metazoa; Chordata; Mammalia; Rodentia; Spalacidae.
GUCUACAGUCAUACCACCUUGAAUGUGUCCAAUCUCCUCUGAGCUUGGAAGGUAAGCAAGAAGAGGCUUAGGUACUACUGAGAUGGUAUACCAAGCUUCCUACACUUUGAUACCAUAUGCC